UUAAAGUUCGACUGCAGUCUAAGUUCUCUUGUAAUCUAUCAUAUCUGGAACUGUGUGCCGGAGAGGUGGCCACCUCUCACGGUCACUUGACCGGCCAACCCGCUAGAUGACUCACGGUCACUGGUGUACACUAGCCCUGGCAGGAUAGCUAUCAACUGCUCAAGACCCGAAUUCGAUUACAUAACUGGCAAAGCCACAUCAGAUAGAUAUCAUACUAAAAUUUAAACAUUUAUGGCAAGACAACAGUUGUAAUAUUUUCCAGUUCAAAGAUUUGUAACGAAAUAACUUGUUCAAAGGUAGCAUUAAACUCGUUUGAUAUAUAUAUAAAACUGAAAUUAACAGUUAAAUCAUCUCAUGCAUUCAUUCAUAUAAGAGGCCUGCGACACGCAGGGGAUCUCUAUAUACGUAUAGUAAAAGUAAUGCCCACCUGG
Molecule: long non-coding RNA, 431 nt
Filed under: Salvia miltiorrhiza (redroot sage)
Lineage: Eukaryota; Viridiplantae; Streptophyta; Magnoliopsida; Lamiales; Lamiaceae
Description: long non-coding RNA (SMIL_LNC010184)
Source: RNAcentral